GGACGCCUGGCUCAGCGGUUAGAGCAUCUCGUUUACACCGAGAGGGUCGGGGGUUCGAAUCCCUCGGCGUCCACCA
This 76-nucleotide transfer RNA is filed under the name Opitutaceae bacterium. Its description in RNAcentral is "tRNA-Val". It matches the Rfam family "tRNA". Rfam says of the family: Transfer RNA (tRNA) molecules are approximately 80 nucleotides in length. The record is from RNAcentral. Lineage: Bacteria; Pseudomonadati; Verrucomicrobiota; Opitutia; Opitutales; Opitutaceae.